This is a long non-coding RNA of Struthio camelus australis, 912 nucleotides long. The record is from Ensembl. Lineage: Eukaryota; Metazoa; Chordata; Aves; Struthioniformes; Struthionidae.
UGUAUCAGAAUUUAUCUUUCUGGUUUGAUUCAUAAUCUUGAAGCUAAUCUUUGUUUCUGAAUUAGGAAAGAGGCUUGACUGUCAGCCCUGAAGCAUCUCCUGGGAUGUCCUUGAGCUCUGAGCGUUCAUGAUGCUGCUUUUUAUUAGGAGCAAGAAGACAAUGAUGAGAGACUCCGGUCACGUUCAGUGACAGUAGCAGGACUGUGCAACAAAAGGCAGAUUGGCUUCUCAAACUCAAAGCUUGCUGGAUAUGGAGGGAACAUAGGACAUCUUCUGAGGGACAAAUAUAUGGAGUAACGCUGUGUUUAGGAGAAACAUCUGGCCUUGAUACAGGGUAUUCACCAGGAAUUUCUGCAUGUUUCAUUAACUACUGCGACAUCGGUACGUCUGUGACUAGGAAGAACUCCACUGAUUUCAUGUUUCUCAGAGAUUUGCAGGAACUGGGGACGGAGUUUAAAUCUGUGAGUUUCAGUUCAGUUUGUGGAAUGGCUUGCAGAAAUAAGAAAUGGAAAACACAAAUGCUCUUGAAAAUGGUAAAAGCAAAUAAGCACCUCUCAGCAAGCACCAUUGAAUAUGCUAAUUUACUAUAUGGAAAUAAGAUUUACCAUCACUUUUUGGGUAUAUAAAAGGGGAGCUGCUAAGACAGUCUGGCCUACUCGAAAAAUUGAAGAGUGAGCUCCUGAGAAACUAAGCUUUUUGCCCUCUGCACUUGUUGCCACCUUGAUCAGGACCGUGAUUGCCUUUGGCGAUGGGGAGAACAGUGGCAGGAAGGAGACCUCCUGGGAAAUAGAAGACAAGGUACAAUUUGACUCUGGCUUUAUGGAAGCCAUGAGCACAUGAACAACACAAUAUCAAAAGCUGCAACCUCUCAAGAAAUUGUUAUCUUACAGACUCAGAAGAGGAAAAAAAAAU